RNAcentral lists this ribosomal RNA (487 nucleotides) under uncultured bacterium. RNAcentral describes it as "bacterial SSU rRNA". It matches the Rfam family "Bacterial small subunit ribosomal RNA", at positions 28 to 499 of the family's 1533-position model. The record is from RNAcentral.
GAUGAACGCUAGCGGCAGGCUUAAUACAUGCAAGUCGAGGGGCAUCAAGGUACACGAAAGUGUAUUGUUGGCGACCGGCGGACGGGUGAGUAAUAGGUAGGUAACCUACCUCAUACUGAGGCAUAGCUGGGAGAAAUUCCAGGUAAUUCCUCAUGAGGUUAUAUGACACAUGUGAUAUAAUCAAAGGUAUCGCAAGGUACUGGUAUGAGAUGGGCUUACUGACCAUUAGCUAGUUGGUGAGAUAAGAGCUCACCAAGGCGAAGAUGGUUAGGGGUUUUGAGAGAGAGAUCCCCCACAUUGGAACUGAGAUACGGUCCAGGACUCCUACGGGAGGCAGCAGUAGGGAAUAUUGGGCAAUGGGCGAAGCCUGACCCAGCCAUGCCGCGUGAAGGAAGACGGCCUUAUGGGUUGUAAACUUCUUUACUAUGCGACUAACUAGAUUACGAGAUAAUUCUAUAGAAUGUAGCAUAGCAAAAAGCACGGUACC